This 360-nucleotide ribosomal RNA is filed under the name Stutzerimonas stutzeri. Its description in RNAcentral is "bacterial SSU rRNA". It matches the Rfam family "Bacterial small subunit ribosomal RNA", at positions 79 to 442 of the family's 1533-position model. The record is from RNAcentral. Lineage: Bacteria; Pseudomonadati; Pseudomonadota; Gammaproteobacteria; Pseudomonadales; Pseudomonadaceae.
CUUGCUCCAUGAUUCAGCGGCGGACGGGUGAGUAAUGCCUAGGAAUCUGCCUGGUAGUGGGGGACAACGUUUCGAAAGGAACGCUAAUACCGCAUACGUCCUACGGGAGAAAGUGGGGGAUCUUCGGACCUCACGCUAUCAGAUGAGCCUAGGUCGGAUUAGCUAGUUGGUGAGGUAAAGGCUCACCAAGGCGACGAUCCGUAACUGGUCUGAGAGGAUGAUCAGUCACACUGGAACUGAAACACGGUCCAAACUCCUACGGGAGGCAGCAGUGGGGAAUAUUGGACAAUGGGCGAAAGCCUGAUCCAGCCAUGCCGCGUGUGUGAAGAAGGUCUUCGGAUUGUAAAGCACUUUUAAGUU